GGGGGCGUAGCUCACCUGGGAGAGCGUUUGACUGGCAGUCAAAAGGUAGCCGGUUCGAGCCCGGUCGUCUCCACCA
Molecule: transfer RNA, 76 nt
Filed under: Erysipelotrichaceae bacterium
Lineage: Bacteria; Bacillati; Bacillota; Erysipelotrichia; Erysipelotrichales; Erysipelotrichaceae
Also listed under: 1 other name
Description: tRNA-Ala
Rfam family: tRNA
About the family: Transfer RNA (tRNA) molecules are approximately 80 nucleotides in length. Their secondary structure includes four short double-helical elements and three loops (D, anti-codon, and T loops).
Source: RNAcentral